RNAcentral lists this ribosomal RNA (500 nucleotides) under uncultured bacterium. RNAcentral's name for it is "partial 16S ribosomal RNA". It matches the Rfam family "Bacterial small subunit ribosomal RNA", at positions 30 to 523 of the family's 1533-position model. The record is from RNAcentral.
AUUGAACGCUGGCGGAAUGCUUUACACAUGCAAGUCGAACGGCAGCACGGACUUCGGUCUGGUGGCGAGUGGCGAACGGGUGAGUAAUGUAUCGGAACGUGCCCAGUCGUGGGGGAUAACGUAGUGAAAAUUACGCUAAUACCGCAUACGAUCUAUGGAUGAAAGCGGGGGAUCGCAAGACCUCGCGCGAUAGGAGCGGCCGAUAUCAGAUUAGGUAGUUGGUGGGGUAAAGGCCCACCAAGCCAACGAUCUGUAGCUGGUCUGAGAGGACGACCGGCCACACUGGAACUGGGACACGGUCCAGACUCCUACGGGAGGCAGCAGUGGGGAAUUUUGGACAAUGGGCGAAAGCCUGAUCCAGCCAUUCCGCGUGCAGGAUGAAGGCCCUCGGGUUGUAAACUGCUUUUGUACAGAACGAAAAGGUUUCUACUAAUACUAGGAGCUCAUGACGGUACUGUAAGAAUAAGCACCGGCUAACUACGUGCCAGCCGCCGCGGUAA